Molecule: ribosomal RNA, 773 nt
Filed under: uncultured bacterium
Lineage: Bacteria
Description: bacterial SSU rRNA
Rfam family: Bacterial small subunit ribosomal RNA
Source: RNAcentral
AGAGUUUGAUCAUGGCUCAGGACGAACGCUGGCGGCGUGCUUAACACACGCAAGUCGAACGGAAAGGCCCUUCGGGGUACUCGAGUGGCGAACGGGUGAGUAACACGUGGGUGAUCUGCCCUGCACUUUGGGAUAAGCCUGGGAAACUGGGUCUAAUACCGAAUAGGACCGCGCGCUUCAUGGUGUGUGGUGGAAAGCUUUUGUGGUGUGGGAUGGGCCCGCGGCCUAUCAGCUUGUUGGUGGGGUAAUGGCCUACCAAGGCGACGACGGGUAGCCGGCCUGAGAGGACGAUCAGCCACACUGGCACUGCGACACGGGCCAGACUCCUACGGGAGGCAGCAGUGGAGAAUAUUGCACAAUGGGCGCAAGCCUGAUGCAGCGACGCCGCGUGAGGGAUGACGGCCUUCGGGUUGUAAACCUCUUUCAAUAGGGACGAAGCGCAAGUGACGGUACCUAUAGAAGAAGGACCGGCCAACUACGUGCCAGCAGCCGCGGUAAUACGUAGGGUCCGAGCGUUGUCCGGAAUUACUGGGCGUAAAGAGCUCGUAGGUGGUUUGUCGCGUUGUUCGUGAAAACUCACAGCUUAACUGUGGGCGUGCGGGCGAUACGGGCAGACUAGAGUACUGCAGGGGAGACUGGAAUUCCUGGUGCAGCGGUGGAAUGCGCAGAUAUCAGGAGGAACACCGGUGGCGAAGGCGGGUCUCUGGGCAGUAACUGACGCUGAGGAGCGAAAGCGUGGGUAGCGAACAGGAUUAGAUACCCUGGUAGUCCAA